RNAcentral lists this ribosomal RNA (566 nucleotides) under Henosepilachna kaszabi. RNAcentral's name for it is "partial 16S ribosomal RNA". It matches the Rfam family "Bacterial large subunit ribosomal RNA", at positions 1819 to 2663 of the family's 2925-position model. The record is from RNAcentral. Lineage: Eukaryota; Metazoa; Arthropoda; Insecta; Coleoptera; Coccinellidae.
CUCUUUUUGAUUUUAAUUUAAAGUUUGGCCUGCCCACUGAAAUUUGAAGGGCCGCAGUAUUUUGACUGUGCAAAGGUAGCAUAAUCAUUAGUUUUUUAAUUGAAAGCUUGUAUGAAUGGUUUGAUGAGAAAAUUACUGUUUCAAUUUUAUUAAUAGAAUUUUAUUUUUAAGUUAAAAAGCUUAAAUAAGGUUUAAAGACGAGAAGACCCUAUAGAGUUUGACUAAAAAUAAAAUUAUGAAAUUUAGAAAUUUAAUUUUUUAAUUUAAUUUAAGUUUUGUUGGGGUGACAGAAAAAUUAAAUUAACUUUUUUUUUAUAAUUACAAUAAUAAUUGAAUUAUUGAUCCAAAAAAAAAUGAUUAUAAGAUUAAAUUACCUUAGGGAUAACAGCGUAAUCUUUUUAAUAGUUCUUAUUGAAAAAAAGGUUUGCGACCUCGAUGUUGGAUUAAAAUUUAUUUUUGGUGUAGAAGCUAAAAUAUUAGGUCUGUUCGACCUUUAAAAUUUUACAUGAUCUGAGUUUAAACCGGUGUAAGCCAGGUUGGUUUCUAUCUUAAAUAAAGUAAAUAUU